UGCAGUCCCUCCAUCAGUCUCUCUGGAGAUUGGAUAAUCUUCAUUAUGCUCCUGUCCCUCCUGAGACAUGCACAGUCCUCCAGGUGUCCUCCCACCAGUGCUGAGGAGAGAGGAGGGAACAUCUCCCUGGAGCUGCUGGCAAUACUUUGCCUAAAAGGCAUCUGAGGAGUCUUUCAGUGCUGCAAGGACACUCUGCUGGCUCAUGUUCACCUUGUGUCCACCAGGAACCUCAGGUAAAACACAUCAGUCUAAUGACAGAAGAGAGUUUAAAGGAGGACUUUGAAGAGAGAAAACCAGCAGACUGUUGCAUGAAGAGAAAAGGCUGAUAGAGCAGCAGUCAUGCUGCACAGCCGUAGUGACUCAGUUGGUUAGGACAUUUGCUAAAAGUAUGCUAGGCUGCCCAAGAAAAGAAAAUAUAAAGAUUUCUCCAAGAAAAAGGGGAAAAGGGGGGAAGGGAGAACUGACCAAUAAUAUCUGGUGUCAAGCUGAAGGAAAGAAAUGUUAGAGUUGUUGCUGCUUUCAAAGAUGGCAACUGAAAGAUGGUGGAGAAUUUCAGAGAAGUUACAAAAGGAGAAAAAUUAAUAAAUGCAUAUUGAUUUAUUUUUUAUUCAGCAUUUAAGAGAGUUGUGCAGAGAGGAGAGUCAGGAAAGGGAUAGGCAUGAGAAUAUGGGUGAGAGGUGAUUGACAAAGGUGUACAGAUUGUUCAAAAAAUUCAAACAGACUAAAGUUGGUUUAUAUCUGAGUACCCAAUAAUGUGAGUUUUGGAAGGAAGGAACAACUAUUUCUCCUUUUGUAAUCUUCACUAAUAUCCUGGAAAUGCCACAUGAGUGACUGGGAAUCCAUCUCUGCAUGGAAAAAAAGUCAAAGGAACAAGUACUGGAGAAAAAAGAAGCUGAGAACAGAAGUUAUGACUGUCCCAAGAUGUGGUUUAGGAUGGAGCACACACAGCAAUAAUUUGAGUAAUAUCAAAGAAUUAAAAUAGUAAAAUAGUCGAGCGAUCACACAAUUCGGGUUCCAAGCCAAGUGUCCUGCUCUCCAUUCACAAAGUAAAGGCAGAACAUGUGGCAGCCUGAUUAAUUUAGUUCUGUACGAUUAAAAUAAAGGCAUUGAAGUAUCCCUGAAGGUCUUCUCAUCUUCCCAACCUCCUACUUGAUUUUCACCUUCCCAUUUCUGGUCUAUUGUCAAGAGGCACAGAUUUCCAGCUCCCAGGCUGCAUUGACUGUCUUGAUCAAGAGAUUCUGCUUCAAAAGACUGUGAGAAAGGUUUGAAGAUUUCACCUCCUGAGGCUCACUGACCUGUACCCAUCUUUCACAUGGUACCUCUGACUGUGGGGCUCUCCUGACACACUAAAGCAGCUCUACAAGAACAGAAGAAAAGCAAGAAAAGCACACACUUUCUCGGAAUAUGCCAAAUGUUCUGGGUGACAUCUGUGGUCUUGUUGACCUGCUUUGGGAUUCUCAGUGCGCACGUGUGGCUCAGAGGAGUCUUGUACAUGAGCUACAGUUCAAUUACUGGCAAGAAAUAUUUCUGUCCAUGAACUCAGGGACAAUGGAGAUCCCUUGCUCUCUAGGAAGACCAGCUCCCUCCAAAGAAAAGAGGAAUUAGGGACAGGGAUCUCUGGUGUCUGCAUCAGGAAGAGCAAUGCCAGCAAGCCAACAGAAGUGAUCCUGCCCCUCUACUCAGCCCUGGUGAGUGAGACUGGGAUCCUCAGUGCAAGAGAGACAAGAAGUCACUGGAGAGGGUCUGAAAAAGUGAUUAAAGGAUUGGAGCAUCUCUCUUAUGGGAAGAGACUGCAGGAUCUGGGCUAUUCAGUCUGGAGAAGAGAAGACUGAGAGGAGAUCUCAUCAAUGCAUACAAAUUUCUCCAAGGCAGGUGUGACAGUGGUCACAGGGGUUCUUGGAUGAGG
Long non-coding RNA from Zonotrichia albicollis (white-throated sparrow), 1906 nucleotides. RefSeq lists it as uncharacterized. NCBI's taxonomy places the organism in Eukaryota, Metazoa, Chordata, Aves, Passeriformes, Passerellidae. The record is from RefSeq and is a predicted model, not a curated record.